GCUCACUCGCUCCUAACUCGACCCCUCAACAUCCUAUUUGGGACGCCAGGGCCUAGCACAUGCGCUGGACGUCCAAGGCCCACAAGCCUUGUGCCCGCGCAGCUGCGCAGCGCGUUGAGGGGUUCUUGUGUUUAACGGGUUCCUUCGCUGCCGUUACAGAGACGUUGGGACGAGACGGGCGGUGAAUAGCCCACAUAGCCCUCUGUAGCCUCCGCAAUGAAAAGUAUUUUCACCUGGGCGGGUAAGAAGCACAGGUGGCUCUUGAGGGGCUCCGUCGGAUGUGAAAAUAGUUUAGGGCUUCAGUCCCAGUUGGGCUAUCACAUCCGAGACAAGGAUCUCGGGCAGAUCCACAAAGCCGCUUGCGCUGGCGACGUAGCCAGGGUGCAGCAGCUGCUGGCGCUGGGGAAGAGCAGAGUAAACGCCAGGGACAAGAAGAACAGGACCCCUCUGCAUUUAGCCUGUGUGAGUGGCCAUCCAGAAGUUGUAACUCUGCUAAUAGAGAGAAAUUGCAUGAUUAAUGCCACUGAUGAUGGAAACAUGACAGCUCUGAUGAAGGCCAUACAAUGCCACCAAGAGGAGUGUGCUACUAUCUUACUAGAACAUGAUGCUGAUCCAAACCAUAUGGAUGAAAAUGGCAACACUGCCCUCCACUAUGCUGCAUUUAUUGAGAAUUUAGAAAUUGCAAAAAAAUUGAUUUCACACAAUGCAGACAUGGAAGGAAGAAAUAAGGAUGGCCUCACACCACUUCUAGUUGCAAUGCAUGAAGAGAAAGAGAAAAUGGUGGAAUUUCUAAUAAUGAAUAAAGCAAAUGUUCAUGUAGUUGAUAAUAUGAAUAGAACAUCACUCAUGUUUGCUGCUCAGUACAGAUCAUCCAAGAUACUCAGCCUUCUUCUUCAACAAGGGGUUGAUGCAUUUUGUGAAGAUAGCUGUGGGUUUACAGCAGAAAAGUAUGCUCGUCUUAAAUUUAAUACAAAAAAUCAUCUGAUAAUUUUAGAUUAUAUGGAAAGAAUGAAACAAAAAGGGCAUGAAGAGAGAAACCUAGGAGGUGAGAGUUCAAAAGACUAUACAAGCAGGCUUUGCAGGAAAACUGUUCAUGAUGAUAUGGAAGACUUAUAUUUACUUGCCAAGAAAUACCUGUCAGCAGGUUUAAGCAGUGAAAAUGAUAUUUCUGUCUCUCAAAAUGUGCCAGAAGAGCAAGACAGAGUAAUUUGUAUGAACACACAAGAAUUCCACAAAGCUAAUAAAUGUGGGAGUUAUAAGGAAAGAAAACCAAUACAGGACAUGCCAAAGAAGCCAUUGUAUGGUGAUUUCAGUACUAAUAGUUAUCAAAGCAUGACACCUGAAUUAGAACGUGUCAGUUCUUCAUCACAUUACAGCAAAGAAAGAAUAUCCAAGGAAGAUUACAGAAGUGAAAAUAACCAGCCACAGGUAUUUGUGAGACACCAUCAACAUCAAGUGGAUGAUACUGAAGAAAGUCAUUCCAUAUCUCAGGUUUCACUGGAUGUUAUAACAAGUUAUUGCCUUAACUUAAAUGGUGAGAUACAGAAUAUGAAGAAGCAAUUAAGAGAAAUUGGAAGACAAUUCCAAGAAGCAGAAGAUGGACAGAAAGAGGUGGCAGAAUAUGCUGAAAAGAUGGAAGAUCGUCUGCAAAAGCUUGAACAGGAAAACUUUAUGUUGCAAGAUACAGUAAAAAAGCAAGCAGUGAAAAUUGAACAGCUGCAGAAAAACCUGUUCAACCCAAGUUCAAAAGACACAUUACAUCCAGCAAGUGGUAAGAGUGAGAAUAUUAAUACUAUCCAAAGUGCUCCAGGAGACCAAGCUACUAUACAAGAAUUAAAUUCUGUUCAUAGACUCCUCAAAGCUGAUACAAGUGGAUCAGAAGAUGAAGCUAUAGAAUCACCGUGUGAUUCUGAGGUACUGUCUCUUGUUAUGAUUUGUAAAUGUAAGGGUUGCAUGAUAUUAAAAUGUAGAAAUGGUACAUUUUUUCUUUUUCUACUUUUUAAAAGUUAUUUGAGAGGCAGAGUGACAGAGAAAGAAGACAGAGAGAGGUCUCAUGUAGCGGUUCAUACCUCAAAUUACUACAAUGAUUAGUGUAGGGCCAAGUUAAAGCCAGGAUACAGGAGCUUGAAACUCAUUCCAGCUCCCCUUAUGGGUUGUAGAGACACAAGUUCUGGAGCUGCCUUCCUAAGUCCACUUGAGCAGGAUUCUGUAAUCAGGAGCAGGAUCCAGGAAUGGAACCCAGAACUCUCAUGUUGAGUGCAGUUGUCCAACCUGGCAUGUGAGAUGCUAGGGCAAAUAACCUUUGAAGGGGAAGCUUUGACUUGUUUAUCCCAUCUGUGUAGGGCUGUUAGGAAUUGUAUCCUUACAUUUCAUAAGAUAAUUAGUAAUGCAUUAAUGUUGUAAGUUUUGUCCUCUUGCAACAAUGCAGUCCUACUAAUUUAAAUGAGUCAUUUAAUGUAGCCAGUGUAGCAUCAUGCACAAAAGGCCCUAGUUGGUACAAGGAAUCACUUCAGCUUUUAAAAUUGAGUUUGCCUAAAAAGUAAAGAGUUAUUCCAGCUCAACCAAUGCCAAAUGAAUGAUUCUAUGUUGUUUAUAGAUGCCUUGUCAAUUGAAUGAGAUUUUGAGAGGAACACUAUUGAAUAUACUGUUUUUACAACUUGAAAUUUGAUAAGACAAUACCUGACAUUUCAAAGCAUUAUUACUGUGUGUAGAAUGCUGACUAUAAAUCUGCAAGAAAUAUUUAAGUACAAGGAUAAGCGUGGGUAUUGUUAAAUAUGUGGGAGUAAAAGAAAAACUCUGUUCUCCUGAUGUUGUACUAAGUAGAAACCAUUUUUGAAAAUAACAUGAUAUAGAACCUUUAUAGCAGCUUGUUAGUGUAAUGUUAAGUAUAAAAUACAGAUAUUUUUCUAUGGUGACACCUGGAAAGGAGAUUGGAAACAUCUGAAUUCUUGAAUACAAGUAGGUGCUGAAUAGUGGUAUUUUUUAAACUUUUAUUUAAUGAAUAUAAAUUUCCAAAGUACGGCUUAUGGAUUACAAUGGCUUCCACCCAUACCGUCCCUCCCACCCGCAACCCUCCCCUUUCCCACUCCCUCUCCCCUUCCAUUCACAUCAAGAUUCAUUUUUGUUUCUCUUUAUAUACAGAAGAUCAGUUUAGUAUACAUUAAGUAAAGAUUUUAACAGUUUGCUCCCACACAGAAACAUAAAGUGAAAAAUAAUAGAUGAUUUUUUAAAUGAUGAUGAAAUCAGAUCAGACCUAUUGUCAUGUUUAAUCCCAGUGAGAGUCAAGUUGGGAAUUGAUAAUUUCUUUUUCCUUUUUUUUUUUUUUACAGAGGAUCAGUUUAGUAUACAUUAAGUAAAGAUUUCAACAGUUUGCACCCCCAUAGCAACACAAAGUGAAAAAUACUGUUUGAGUACUAGUUAUAGCAUUAAAUCUCAAUGUACAGCACAUUAAGGACAGAGAUCCUACAUGAGGAGUAAGUGCACAGUGACUCCUGUUGUUGACUUUACCAAUUGACACUCUUGUUUAUGGCAUCAGUAAUCUCCCUAUGCUCCAGUCAUGAGUUUCCAAGGCUAUGGAAGACUUUUGAGUUCUCCGACUCUUAUCUUGUUUAGACAAGGUCAUAGUCAAAGUGGAGGUUCUGUCCUCCCUUCAGAGAAAGGUACCUCCUUCUUUGAAGACCUGUUCUUUCCACUGGGAUCUCACUCACAGAGAUCUUUUGCCAGAGUGUCUUGGCUUUCCAUGCCUGAAAUACUCUCAUGGGCUUUUCAGCCAGAUCCGAAUGCCUUUAUGGCUGAUUCUGAGGCCAGAGUGCUAUUUAGGAAUUCCGCCAUUCUAUGAGUCUUCUGAGUAUCUCACUUCCCAUGUUGGAUCACUCUCCCCUUUAUUUAUUCUAUCGGUUAGUGUUAGCAGGUACUAGACUUAUUUAAGUGCUCCCUUUGACUCUUAGUCCUUUCAUUAUGAUCAGUUGUGAACUGAAAUUGAUCACUUGGAAUAGUGAGAUGGCAUUGGUACAUGCCACCUUGAUGGGAUUGAAUUGGAAUCCCCUGGUAUGUUUCUAACUCUACCAUUUGGGGCAAGUCAGCUUGAGCAUGUCCCAAAUUGUACAUCUCUUCCCUCUCUUAUUCCCACUCUUAUGUUUAACAGGGAUCACAUUUCAGUUAAUUUUCAACACUUAAGAAUAACUGUGUGAUAAUUACAGAAUUAAACCAGUCAUAUUAAGUAGAAC
Non-coding RNA from Oryctolagus cuniculus (rabbit), 4226 nucleotides. The record is from RefSeq and is a predicted model, not a curated record. Lineage: Eukaryota; Metazoa; Chordata; Mammalia; Lagomorpha; Leporidae.